AUUGAACGCUGGCGGAAUGCUUUACACAUGCAAGUCGAACGGCAGCACGGGGGCAACCCUGGUGGCGAGUGGCGAACGGGUGAGUAAUACAUCGGAACGUGCCCAGUCGUGGGGGAUAACGUAGCGAAAGUUACGCUAAUACCGCAUACGAUCUACGGAUGAAAGCGGGGGAUCGCAAGACCUCGCGCGAUUGGAGCGGCCGAUGUCAGAUUAGGUAGUUGGUGGGGUAAAGGCUCACCAAGCCGACGAUCUGUAGCUGGUCUGAGGGGACGACCAGCCACACUGGGACUGAGACACGGCCCAGACUCCUACGGGAGGCAGCAGUGGGGAAUUUUGGACAAUGGGCGCAAGCCUGAUCCAGCAAUGCCGCGUGCAGGAUGAAGGCCUUCGGGUUGUAAACUGCUUUUGUACGGAACGAAACGGUGAGCUCUAAUAAAGCUUGCUAAUGACGGUACCGUAAGAAUAAGCACCGGCUAACUACGUG
Molecule: ribosomal RNA, 484 nt
Filed under: uncultured bacterium
Lineage: Bacteria
Description: bacterial SSU rRNA
Rfam family: Bacterial small subunit ribosomal RNA
Source: RNAcentral